AGUGGACGCUGGCGGUAGGCCUAACACAUGCAAGUCGAACGGCAGCACAGUAAGAGCUUGCUCUUACGGGUGGCGAGUGGCGGACGGGUGAGGAAUACAUCGGAAUCUACUUUUUCGUGGGGGAUAACGUAGGGAAACUUACGCUAAUACCGCAUACGACCUACGGGUGGAAGCAGGGGAUCUUCGGACCUUGCGCGAUUGAAUGAGCCGAUGUCGGAUUAGCUAGUUGGCGGGGUAAAGGCCCACCAAGGCGACGAUCCGUAGCUGGUCUGAGAGGAUGAUCAGCCACACUGGAACUGAGACACGGUCCAGACUCCUACGGGAGGCAGCAGUGGGGAAUAUUGGACAAAGGGCGCAAGCCUGAUCCAGCCAUACCGCGUGGGUGAAGAAGGCCUUCGGGUUGUAAAGCCCUUUUGUUGGGAAAGAAAAGCAGCAGGUUAAUACCCCGCUGUUCUGACGGUACCCAAAGAAUAAGCACCGGCUAACUUCGUG
RNAcentral lists this ribosomal RNA (492 nucleotides) under uncultured bacterium. Its description in RNAcentral is "partial 16S ribosomal RNA". It matches the Rfam family "Bacterial small subunit ribosomal RNA", at positions 29 to 507 of the family's 1533-position model. The record is from RNAcentral.